GUGAGAUUCCUGCACCCGUAAUGAACAGAACUGUAGUGACACGGAAGGUAAGACAGAGCCGGGAAUGAGAAAACCGGUGCAAGCACAAUAGAUGUGCGGGAGGAAAACCCCCGCAUAAGUCGAAGGUGUGAUGCGGACCGAAAAAGAGUAGGGAAGCUGUUAAGCAAGCCGUCAAGAAAAGCUGCUAUUGUUUCAUUAUGGCCCGUACCGUAAACCGACACAGGUGGAUGGGGAGAGAAUCCUAAGGCCGGCGGAAGAAGUAUUGUUAAGGAACUCGGCAAAAUGACCCCGUAACUUCGGGAGAAGGGGUGCCUGCGAGAGCAGGCCGCAGAGAAGAGGCCCAAGCAACUGUUUAGCAAAAACACAGGUCUAUGAAAAACCGAAAGGUGAGGUAUAUGGGCUGACGCCUGCCCGGUGCUGGAAGGUUAAGGGGAGUGGUCAGGAAACGAAGCCACGAACUUAAGCCCCAGUAAACGGCGGCCGUAACAAUAACGGUCCUAAGGUAGCGAAAUUCCUUGUCGGGUAAGUUCCGACCCGCACGAAAGGCGUAAUGAUUUGGGCGCUGUCUCGACAAUACAUCCGGUGAAAUUGAAGUGCCAGUGAAGAUGCUGGCUACCUGCGCCAGGACGGAAAGACCCCAUGGAGCUUUACUCCAGCUUGAUACUGGGACCCGGUAUUGCAUGUACAGGAUAGGUGGGAGGCUAGGAAAUGUGGACGCCAGUCUGCAUGGAGCCGCUGUUGGGAUACCACCCUUGUGGUGCUGGGUUUCUAACCAGAGGCCGUGAACCGGUCUGGGGACAAUGUCAGGUGGGGAGUUUGACUGGGGCGGUCGCCUCCGAAAGGGUAUCGGAGGCGCCCAAAGGUUCCCUCAGAAUGGUUGGAAACCAUUCGAAGAGUGCAAAGGCAGAAGGGAGCUUGACUGCGACACCGACGGGUGGAGCAGGUACGAAAGUAGGGCUUAGUGAUCCGGUGGAAUUUAAGUGGGAAUGCCAUCGCUCAACGGAUAAAAGCUACCCUGGGAUAACAGGCUGAUCACUCCCAAGAGUUCACAUCGACGGAGUGGUUUGGCACCUCGAUGUCGGCUCAUCGCAUCCUGGGGCUGAAGUCGGUCCCAAGGGUUGGGCUGUUCGCCCAUUAAAGCGGUACGCGAGCUGGGUUCAGAACGUCGUGAGACAGUUCGGUCCCUAUCCGGCGUGGGCGUAGGAUAUCUGAGAGGAGCUGUCCUUAGUACGAGAGGACCGGGAUGGACUGACCUCUGGUGUACCGGUUGGCGAUCAACGCCACGGCCGGGUAGCCAUGUCGGGACGGGAUAAACGCUGAAGGCAUCUAAGCGUGAAGCCCCCCUCAAGAUGAGAUAUCCCAUUCGAAAGAAGUAAGACCCCUUGAAGACGACGAGGUUGAUAGGGCAGGGGUGGAAGUGCUGUAAGGCAUGGAGCUGACUGCUACUAAUCGGUCGAGGGCUUGACC
This 1467-nucleotide ribosomal RNA is filed under the name metagenome. RNAcentral describes it as "bacterial LSU rRNA". It matches the Rfam family "Bacterial large subunit ribosomal RNA", at positions 1430 to 2925 of the family's 2925-position model. The record is from RNAcentral.